UGCAGGUAAUGCAGUUACCGCUUGACUGUAGCGACCAAUGAGCCUAUUCAGUAUACUAAGGUCCAUCUGAGGAAUACCCUUUUUCUCCAGCCGAAGCAAAAAACACAGCCAAUCUUCUGGAUUAUUUGUUGUCAUCAUUAUUCGAUUAACAGUUCCAGAGUUAUCUGUUGUAUCAGCUGAUAUUUUAGUACAGUUCAGUUCAUCUGUGAUAUUGUCUUCAUUCCUGUAUUUGUUUUUCAAGUCUCUAACUCUACUCAUGAUUGAAGCAAUUCGUGGCAAUCCUCUUUCACUUAGAUCCUCCUCCUCCUCCAUAUUUCUGAUAUGUGGCUUCUUAACUGACAAAGGUUCAAUAUAUACAAUAUGGAGAAAACUUCUGAAGAACUGAUAUGCUUCGUCAAAAAGUUGAAGUGGAUGAGGGUCAGAUUACUUCAGAUGAUCCCAAGAAUCCAGCAACGGCAAGAAAUGUAGUCCUUCAUCCUGAAGAAGUUCCGCAGCUCCAGCGCUCGCUGCUGCCCGCACGGGCCGGGACCAGGCCGCUCUCGGGCCGGACCAAACUAGGCCGCGUACCUCUCCGAGUUUGAAAAUCCCCCGCCCACCCAAAGCCAGCGCUGAUUGGCCGAG
Molecule: long non-coding RNA, 621 nt
Filed under: Gallus gallus (chicken)
Lineage: Eukaryota; Metazoa; Chordata; Aves; Galliformes; Phasianidae
Source: RNAcentral